CAACCUUCCGGGUGAUCUUGCUGUAAGAAUGAAAUGCAAUUGUAUACGUAAAAUGCUUCAAGAGCCCUUGAUCCUUAGACGCGGGCUGUAGUUUCAAUGGCUCCAUCAGCUGAGAGCGUGAGCUGUCAGAGGCUGCUUCAGAGGAAAGCCAAGAGGAUGCUCUCCUGUCUCAGAAUCAGUAAAUACAACCUAUAAUGGACUGUGUCAGAUUCCAAGUCCUCACCCCGUGUCAUGCUGCAGGGACCCACUGUCUGGGCAAAGCCACCUCUGACUGAGGGGCAGGGACAUAGAUGGGGAGUCUAGCAAACAUGUAUUCACCAGCAUAAGUAUCUAGAAUCCUGUGGCUUUGAGUGACUGUUACCUUGGUCUAAGUGACUUC
This is a long non-coding RNA of Mustela lutreola (European mink), 379 nucleotides long. RefSeq lists it as uncharacterized. The transcript has 3 exons. The record is from RefSeq and is a predicted model, not a curated record. NCBI's taxonomy places the organism in Eukaryota, Metazoa, Chordata, Mammalia, Carnivora, Mustelidae.